CUCAUCCUUUAAAGCUUGCCUGCUGCCUCAUUGACUCCCAAGUCUUGUGACAAGUCAGAGCUUCCUGUAUCAUAACUUUACUCUAGCUGAUUGCGAGCUGAAUUCAGUCUCCUGGCACUCUCCUCACAGAAUGACUAUAGCCCUUCUUUGAACCCUGCAGUUUUUAGCCGAGGACCACAUAUAUUUUCCACAUACUCUCGUCAGUGUUUCCCAUAGGGACCCUCAGUCCUGAAAAGACACAUCCCUUACUUUUGGCUACGCACGGUGGCUCACGCCUGUAAUCCCAGCACUUUGGGAGGCCAAGGUGGGUGGAUCACAAGGUCAAGAGACCGAUACUAUCCUGGCUAACAUAGUGAAACCCCGUCUAAAAUACAAAAUACUAAAAAUGCAAAAAUUAGCUGGGUGUCUGAGCUACUCGGGAAGCUGAGGCAGGAGAAUCGCUUGAACCCAGGAGGUGGAGGUACAAGUGAGCCAAGAUCACACCACUCUACUCCAGCCUGGUGACAGAACAGGAUUCUGUCUCAAAAAUAAAUAAAUAAUAUAUAUUUUUAAAAAAGACAUAUCCCUUACUUUAAAAAACUUUGUUUAGGCAACCCACUAUGGGCCAGAGUCCUCAGACUGACUCAGGAUAGCUGACUAAGCUGCUGCUCCAGAAUGCUGAAAUAUGUCAUAAUUCACCAUAUGAACCAUUGUUCAUAACUGUGUGACCACCAUAAAUCUUACCUUCAAGGAUGCUCUCAUCUGAAUGAACUAAGCAGAAGAAACCAAACAAUAAGAGUAGGGCUUGAACUUUUUAGCAAAUUCAGUUCUUAACUAAUUAGAAAGCAUGGAUGAGCUAACAGUUUCUUACCCCUUGCCAGGAGGGAAAUGGAGAAAUUUGAUUUAUACGUGAAAAUUCUGCUUUUCAACUUUCACAUGCCAAAGGCUGCAGAUGCUGAAACUAAUCACUAUGAUUCUACUUUAACUGCAAGAUGGCCAAAAAGUGCAGACAGGUUCAUGUAUAUGAAAACAGAGGAGAGCAGAUUUUGGUGAAUACUAGUGAUAUCUACUUUACAGCACCAGCUUCAUGGGAGCAAAGGAAACAAUUCAAUAGAAAGUACCUAAAAAGAGAAAUUUCCAAGACCAAGUGGCACUGAAGCAUUUAUUCUAACCGGAUUCUGCGUAUCUUCACCCUUUUCGCUGGAAGUACUGAUUCCAUUCCGCUAUCAAAGGAGAAAGCCUUGCGCGCCCCCUAGAGGACAAAGCGUGUAGACAGCAUUUCCCCGUCUGAGCUCUCUGGUCUUCCCGUCUCAGGAGAGGCAGUGAGGCCUCGCUUACUGCCACGGGCACGCCUCUUUACAGCACUCACCGCAUUGUGCUAUUUGUCGCAGCUCAUCAUUUCUUUACACACGUGAGCCUCUUGGCAAUCAGACUGGCAUUACAUCUCGUCUAACCCUUAAAAUGGGGUCUGGUGCAAAGCGGGCCCUCAGCAACUGUGCUUGUUAGGGGAAUAAAAGCAUUCAAGAGGAACAAAAACAUUAACAUUCCUGGAAUGCCCAUAUUUUAUCUUGCUGUGCUCAGUUAUUUCUCCUACUUUCUUUUCUACUUUUUCUCCAUCACAUAUUAUAACUAGCAACUUACAUAGCCCUUGUUCAUGCAAUAUGACAAUGAAUCCUACAAUUCUAUGUGAAUAGAAUUUCCCUUUUGCCCUUUAUAGAAAAGAAAACUAACAAACAGGUGAAGUGACCUGCUCAAGGUCACACAGCAGGAAGUAUUAGAACAAAGAAACAAAGCCAGGUUUUUCUGACCAGAUGGUAUGAUCAACUAGGCAACUUUAUUGUGUUCCUUCAGAUUUUGGUCAGCUUUAGCCUUGGUUUGUUUGCAAUAGCAACAUGCACACUGCAUACGCACCAUAUGCACACGCAUACUGCACAUAAAUUUGCAAAAUGGAGAUAACUUCUUCUGGCUCUCCCUUCUUCCUGAUUUAUAAAAUGAUCACUGAUUGUAAAGCAUUCAAACCAUAUACCCACUCCAAGCUUGAUUGCACAUUGAAUCAUCUGGGUAAUUUUUAAAAUUACUAGAACCUGGGUUCACCUCCGGUAGUUCUGCCUUAAUUUGUCUAGAAUGGGCCGAGCAUUCAGAUUUUUCAUAGGUUGUUAAUGUACUAAGUUGAGAACCGCUGCAGUACAGAAAACUGUAAAUAAUUUUUUAAAAAUCUGUAAUUCCUUGGCCGGGUGCAGUGGCCCAUGGCUGUAAUCCCAACACUUUGGGAGGCCGAGACAGGUGGAUCGGAUUGCUUGAGUUCAGGAUUUUGUGACCAGCCCCGCCAACAUGGUGAAACCCCAUCUCUACCAAAAAUACAAACGUUAGCUGGGCAUGGUGGUGCGUGCCUGUAAUCCCAGCUACUCAGGAGGAUGAGGCAGGAGAAUUGCUUGAACUUGGGAGGCGGAGGUUGCAGUGAGUGGGGAUCAUAGCACUGCACUCCAGCAUGGGUGAUAGAGCAUGACUCAGUCUCAAAAAAAAAAAAAAAUCUGAGGGUGGGGGCGGGGCGCCAAGAUGGCUGAGAGAACCCAGCACCUGAAUGCAGUUCCCCGCCAAUGAGAUGCAAAGGGCUAGAGGACUUCAGGAUUCCAAACAAGGUGCUGGGUUCAUUUCUGUGGGACUGAUAGGGGACUGAAAUAGGCCCAGGGAAGGAGCUGCAGGGCGAGAGCCGCCCAAGGGGGCAAAUCAAGACGGUGGGGGUGGGGGAGCGCAUCCCUACCUGAAAGGUGAAGGAGGCUCGGAGGUUCAGGGGACUUAACCCCCUCGGUGCUCCGUUUUGGUCCUGUGCUUACCUCAUCCCUCCUGCAACCCACCCCACAGUCCACCAGAGCCCUGCCAGACGGCGGGGCGCCGUGGGCAGUGGAUGCAAAUUUGAGCAGCGGCUAUCACCAGGUGCAGCAAGUUGUCGCAGGGACCUGGGAGGGAGUUUAGACUAACGUCAGCGGGACAGACUAUCCCACAGAGGGAGGUAGAGUUGAAAACAGGGAAACAGACCAUCAGGCCUGGCAGGCCUCACCUCCACAGAGUGCAAACUGAAGCCCUCGCUAGAGAACUUGGCAGCAUAAAUAUACCAACUUCACCCCAACCAGGAAGAUCCAGCUGGGGAAGGAGAGACGCCAUGGGAAGGCGGGGCCAAUCUCACCUGCGAACAGACACCAGGGAGGAACCACCCACCCAACAACCUGACUGAACCGAAAGAGUCCAGCAACGCCCUCUACAGGCCAAAAAAGAUACAGCUCCAACCUCAACAGGAAAAAAGUCCACUCAGACUCCUGAAAUCACCAGCUUCAAAGACUAAAGGGAGAUAAAUCCACGAAGAUGGGGAAAAAACAGCACAAAAAGGAUGAAACCAUCAAAGAACAGAACACCUCUUCUCCUUCCAGGGAUCACAACUCCUCACCAUCAAGGGAACAAAAAAAAGAGAAUGAAUCUGACGAAUUGACAGAAGCAGGCUUCAGAAGGUGGGUAAUAAACUUUUCUGAGUUAAAAGACCAUGUUCUAACCCAAUGCAAAGAAACUAAGAACCUUGAAUAAAAGGUUAGACAAAAUGCUAACUAGAAUAACCAGCUUAGAGAAGAACAUAAACAACUUGACGGAGCUGAAAAACAUAGCACGAGAACUUCGUAAGGCAUACACAAGUUUCAACAGCCAAAUCGAUCAAGCAGAAGAAAGACUAUUAGAUAUAGAAGAUCAAAUCAAUAAAAUAAAAUGAGAAGGCAAGAUUAGAGAAAAAAGAGUGAAAAAAAUGAGCAAAGCCUCCAAGAACUAUGGGAUUAUGUGAAAAAAAAAAACAAAACCUAAUCUACACUUGAUCAGCAUACCUGAAUGUGACAGGGAGAAUGAAUCCAAGUUGGAAAACAUUCUUCAAGAUAUUAUCCAAGAGAACUUUCCCAACCUAACAAGGCAGGCCAACAUUCAAAUCCAGGAAAUACAGAGAACACCACAAAGAUAUUCCUCAAGAAGAGCAAUCCCAAGAUACAUAGUUGUCAGAUUCACCAGAGUUGAAAUGAAGGAAAAACUCCUAAGGGCAGCCAGAGAGAAAGGUCGAGUCACCCACAAAGGAAAGACCAUCAGACUUACAGUGGAUCUCUCGGCAGAGACCCUGCAAGCUAGAAGGGAGUGGGGGCCAAUAUUCAACAUCCUUAAAGAAAAUAACUUUCAACCCAGAAUUUCAUAUUUGGCUAAACCAAGCUUGAUAAGUGAAGGAGAAAUAAAAUCCUUUACAGGCAAGCAAUUGCUGAGAGAUUUGAUCACUACUAUACCUGCCUUACAGGAACUACUGAAGGAUGUACUAAACAGGUAAAGGAACAACCAGUACCAGCUCCUGCAAAAAUGUACCAAAUGGUAAAGAAUAAUGAUGCAAUGAAGGAGCCAUGUCAAUUAACGGGCAAAACAACCAGCCAGUAACAAAAUGGCAGGAGCAAAUUCAAACAUAACAGUAUUAACGUUGAAUGUAAAUGGCCUAAAUGCCCCAAUCAAAAGACACAGACUGGCAAACUGGAUAAAAAAUCAAGACCCAUUGGUGUGCUGUAUUCAGGAGACACCAUCUCACAUGCAAAGACUCACAUAGAUUCAAAAUAAGGGGGUGGAAGAAGAUUUACCAAGCAAAUGGAGAGCAAAAAAAAGCAGGGGUAGCAAUCCUAGUCUUUGAUUAAAAUGGACUUUAAACCAACAAAGAUCAAAAGAGACAAAGAAGGGCAUUAUAUAAUGGUAAAAGAAUCAAUGUGAGAAGAAGAGCUAACUAUCCUAAAUAUUUAUGCACCCAAAUGCAGGAGCACCUAGAUACAUAAAGCAAGUUCUUAAAGACCUACAAAGAGACUGAGACUCCCACACAAUAAUAGUGGGAUUUUAACACUCCACUGACAAUAUUGGACAGAUCAACAAGACAGAAAGUCAACAAGGAUAUCCAGGACUUGAAUACAGAUUUGGACCUAGUGGACCUAAUAGACAUUUAUAGGACACUCCACCCCAAAUCCACAGAAUACACAUUCUUCUCAGAACCACAUUGCACUUACUCCAAAAUUGGCUACAAAAUCGGAAAUAAAUCACUCCUCAGCAAAUGCAAAAGAAUGGAAAUCAUAACAAACAGUCUCUCAGACCACAGCACAAUCAAAUUAGAACUCAGGAUUAAGAAAAGCACUCAAAACCAUACAAUUACACAUAAACUGAACAACUUGCUCCUGAAUGAUGAAUGGAUAAACAAUAAAAUGAAGGCAGAAAUAAAAAUGUUCUUCAAAACCAAUGAGAAUGAAGACACAAUGUACCAGAUCAUAUUGGACACAUUUAAAGCAAUGUCUAGAGGGAAAUUUAUAGCAAUAAAUGCCCACAUGAGAAACAAGGAAAGAUCUAAAAUCAACACCUUAUCAUCAAAAUUGAAAGAGCUAGAGGAGCAAGAUCAAGAAAACUCAAAAGCAAGCAGAAGAUGAGAAAUAACUGAGAUCAGAGCAGAACUGAAGAAGACAGAGACACAAAACACCCUUCAAAAAAAUCAAUAAAUCCAGGAGCUGAUUUUUUGAAAAGAUCAACAAAAUAGACCAUUAGAUAGACUAAUAGAAAAGAGAGAAGAAUCAAAUAGAUGCAAUUAAAAAAAAAAAAAAAACGCUAAAGGGGAAAUCACACCAAUUCCUCAGAAAUACAAACUACUAUCAGAGAUUACUACAAACAACUCUAUGCACAUAAAGCAGUAAAUCUGGAAGAAAUGGAUAAAUUCCUGGACAUUUGCACACUCCCAAAACUAAGCCAAGAAGAAGUUGAAACCCUGAAUAGACCAGUAACAAGGUCUGAAGUUGAGGCAGCAAUUAAUAGCCUACUGACCAAAAAAAACUCCAGGUCCAGAUUGGUUCACAGCUGAAUUCUACUAGACAUUCAAAGAGGAGCCGGUACCAUUUCUGUUGAAACUAUUCCAAACAACAGAGAGAAUCCUCCCUAACACUUUCUAUGAGACCAAUAUCAUCCUGAUACCAAAAUCUGGCAGAGACACAACUAAAAACAGGCCAAUAUCCGUGAUAAACAUAGAUGCAAAAAUCUUCAAUAAAAAACUGUCAAACUGAAUCCAACAGCAUAUCAAAAAGCUUAUCCACCACGAUCAAGAAGGCUUCAUCCCAGGGAUGCAAGGCUGGUUCAACAUAUGCAAAUCUAUAAAUGUAAUUUACCACAUAAACAGAACCAAAGACAAAAACCACAUGAUUAUCUCAAUAGAUGCAGAAAAGGCCUUUGACAAAAUUCAACAGCCCUUAUGCUGAAAACUCUCAAUAAACUAGGUAUCAAUAGAACAUAACUCAAAACAAUAAAAGCUAUUUAUGACAAACCCACAGCCAAUAUCAUACUGAAUGGGCAAAAAUUAGAGGUAUUCUCUUUAAAAAUUGGCACUAGAUAAGGAUGCCCUCUCUCACCACUCCUAUUCAAUAUAGUAUUGGAAGUUCUAGCCAGAGCAAUCAGGCAAGAAAAAUAAAUAAAGGACAUUCAAUUAGGAAGAGAAAAAGUCAAAUUGUCCCUAUUUGCAGACAACAUGACCAUAUAUUUACAAGACCCCAUUGUCUCCGCCCAAAACCUCCUUAAGCUGAUAAACAACUUCAGCAAAGUCUCGGGAUACAAAAUCAAUGUGCAGAAAUCACAAGCAUUCCUAUACAGCAAUAACAGACAAACAGAGAGCCAAAUCAUGAGCGAACUCCCAUUUACGAUUGCUUCAAAGAGAAUAAAAUGCCUAGGAAUACAAUUAACAAAGGAAGUAAAAGAGUUCUUCAAGGAGAACUACAAACCACUAAUCAAGGAAAUAAGAGAGGACACCAACAAAUGGAAAAACAUUCCAUGCUCAUGGUUAGGAAGAAUCAAUAUUGUGAAAUGGCCAUACUGCCCAAAGUAAUUUAUAGAUUCAAUGCUAUCCCAUCAAGCUACCAUUGACCUUCCUCACAGAACUGGAAAAAAACACUUUAAACUUCAUAUGGAACUAAAAGAGAGCCUGCAUAGCCAAAACAAUCCUUAUCAAAAAGAACAAAGCUGUAGGCAUCAUGCUACCUGACUUCAAACUAGACUACAAGGCUACAGUAAUCAAAACAGCCUUGUUGGUACUGGUAUCAAAACAGAGAUAUAGACCAAUGGAACAGAACAGAGGCCUUGGAGGCAAUUCCACACAUCUACAACCACCUGAUCUUUGACAAACCUGACAAAAACAAGCAAUGGGAAAAGGAUUCCCUGUUUAAUAAAUGGUAUUGGGAAAACUGGCUAGCAAUGUGCAGGAAGCUGAAACUGGACCCCUUCCUUACACCUUAUACAAAAAUUAACUCCAGAUGGAUUAAAGAUUUAAACCUAAGAACUAACACCAUAAAAACCCUAGAAGAAAACCUAGGCAAUACCAUUCAGGACAUAGGCACAGGCAAGGACUUCAUGACUAAAACACCAAAAGCACUGGCAACAAAAACCAAAAUAGACAAAUGGGACCUAAUUAAACUUAAGAGCUUCUGCACCACAAAAGAAACAAUCAUUAGAGUAAACCGACAACCAACAGUAUGGGAAAAAAAUGUUCCCAAUCUACCCAUCAGACAAAGGGCUGAUAUCCAGACUCUACAAAGAACUAAAACAGAUUUACAAGAAAAACAAACAAACAAACAAACAAACAAACCCAUUCAAAAGUGGGCAAAGAAUAUGAACAGACACUUUUCCAUAGAAGACAAAUAUGCAGCCAAAAAACAUGUGAAAAGAUGCUCAUCAUCACUGGUCAUUAGAGAAAUGCAAAUCAAAACCACAUUGAGAUACCAUCUCACACCAGUUAGAGUGGCGAUCAUUAAAAAAUCUGGAGACAACAGAUGCUGAAGAGGACGUGGAGAAAUAGGAACACUUUUACACUGUUGGUGGGAGUGUAUAUUAAUUCAACCAUUGUGGAAGACAGUGUGGCGAUUCCUCAAGGAUCUAGAAAUAGAAAUUCCAUUUGACCUGGCAAUCCCAUUACUGGGUAUAUACCAAAGGAUUUUAAAUCAUUCUAUCAUAAAGACACAUGCACACGUAUGUUCACUGUGGCACUGUUUAUCAUAGCAAAGACCUGGAACCAACCCAAAUGCCCAUUUAUGAUAGACUGGACUAGGAAAAUGCAGCACAUAUACACCAUGGAAUACUAUGCAGCCAUAAAAAAUGAUGAGUUCGUGUCCUUUGUAGAGACAUGGAUGAACCUAGAAACCAUCAUUCUCAGCAAACUGACACAAGAACAGAAAACCAAACACCGCAUGUUCUCACUCAUGGGUGGGUGAUGAACACUGAGAACACUUUGGCAUAUGGAAGGGAACAACACU
Molecule: non-coding RNA, 8303 nt
Organism: Callithrix jacchus (white-tufted-ear marmoset)
Lineage: Eukaryota; Metazoa; Chordata; Mammalia; Primates; Cebidae
Source: RefSeq, a predicted model, not a curated record